RNAcentral lists this ribosomal RNA (1416 nucleotides) under Staphylococcus aureus. RNAcentral describes it as "bacterial SSU rRNA". It matches the Rfam family "Bacterial small subunit ribosomal RNA". The record is from RNAcentral. Lineage: Bacteria; Bacillati; Bacillota; Bacilli; Caryophanales; Staphylococcaceae.
GCAGUCGAGCGAACGGACGAGAAGCUUGCUUCUCUGAUGUUAGCGGCGGACGGGUGAGUAACACGUGGAUAACCUACCUAUAAGACUGGGAUAACUUCGGGAAACCGGAGCUAAUACCGGAUAAUAUUUUGAACCGCAUGGUUCAAAAGUGAAAGACGGUCUUGCUGUCACUUAUAGAUGGAUCCGCGCUGCAUUAGCUAGUUGGUAAGGUAACGGCUUACCAAGGCAACGAUGCAUAGCCGACCUGAGAGGGUGAUCGGCCACACUGGAACUGAGACACGGUCCAGACUCCUACGGGAGGCAGCAGUAGGGAAUCUUCCGCAAUGGGCGAAAGCCUGACGGAGCAACGCCGCGUGAGUGAUGAAGGUCUUCGGAUCGUAAAACUCUGUUAUUAGGGAAGAACAUAUGUGUAAGUAACUGUGCACAUCUUGACGGUACCUAAUCAGAAAGCCACGGCUAACUACGUGCCAGCAGCCGCGGUAAUACGUAGGUGGCAAGCGUUAUCCGGAAUUAUUGGGCGUAAAGCGCGCGUAGGCGGUUUUUUAAGUCUGAUGUGAAAGCCCACGGCUCAACCGUGGAGGGUCAUUGGAAACUGGAAAACUUGAGUGCAGAAGAGGAAAGUGGAAUUCCAUGUGUAGCGGUGAAAUGCGCAGAGAUAUGGAGGAACACCAGUGGCGAAGGCGACUUUCUGGUCUGUAACUGACGCUGAUGUGCGAAAGCGUGGGGAUCAAACAGGAUUAGAUACCCUGGUAGUCCACGCCGUAAACGAUGAGUGCUAAGUGUUAGGGGGUUUCCGCCCCUUAGUGCUGCAGCUAACGCAUUAAGCACUCCGCCUGGGGAGUACGACCGCAAGGUUGAAACUCAAAGGAAUUGACGGGGACCCGCACAAGCGGUGGAGCAUGUGGUUUAAUUCGAAGCAACGCGAAGAACCUUACCAAAUCUUGACAUCCUUUGACAACUCUAGAGAUAGAGCUUUCCCCUUCGGGGGACAAAGUGACAGGUGGUGCAUGGUUGUCGUCAGCUCGUGUCGUGAGAUGUUGGGUUAAGUCCCGCAACGAGCGCAACCCUUAAGCUUAGUUGCCAUCAUUAAGUUGGGCACUCUAAGUUGACUGCCGGUGACAAACCGGAGGAAGGUGGGGAUGACGUCAAAUCAUCAUGCCCCUUAUGAUUUGGGCUACACACGUGCUACAAUGGACAAUACAAAGGGCAGCGAAACCGCGAGGUCAAGCAAAUCCCAUAAAGUUGUUCUCAGUUCGGAUUGUAGUCUGCAACUCGACUACAUGAAGCUGGAAUCGCUAGUAAUCGUAGAUCAGCAUGCUACGGUGAAUACGUUCCCGGGUCUUGUACACACCGCCCGUCACACCACGAGAGUUUGUAACACCCGAAGCCGGUGGAGUAACCUUUUAGGAGCUAGCC